Long non-coding RNA from Diachasmimorpha longicaudata, 1558 nucleotides. RefSeq lists it as uncharacterized. The transcript is spliced from 3 exons. The record is from RefSeq and is a predicted model, not a curated record. NCBI's taxonomy places the organism in Eukaryota, Metazoa, Arthropoda, Insecta, Hymenoptera, Braconidae.
UUCUACAAUACUGCGAACUAUUCUGGAAUUCUGAACUUUCUUUCUCAUUUGUCAGUGAGCUGGAGGGUGUUUGCGAGUACAUUGCCUCUAAAAGUUUCAUGCACUCUGCGGGAUGAAGUUUUUCCGAUAAAUGAUCUAACUCUAGUGUAUUGAAAUCUGCUGAACACGUGAUUUCCCAUGUUCCCUGCAAAUUAAUGAACAGAACUGAAAAUAUAUCAAAUCAAUUAAACAAGCAGAGAUUUAUUACGAAAUUCAACCAGAUCACCUGUAUAAUAAAUAAGUAAAUAGUAUAAAAUUGAGUUAAACUCAUCGCAAAAAUAAACCGUACAAAACCCUAGCAGUUGACAUAUUUAUCUGUCAAUUAUACCAACAAUUGAAGAACGAUUUUUUGCCGAUGCAGAAUUAACACCUUCAGCUCGUGACUUUUGUACUUUAACCUUUUGAAAAAAUUAUUUCCAUGCUUUAUACCUCUGCAAUUUAUCUGUUGAUGAUUCGACAAAUUAUCGCUGUGAAAAUGGGCCAUAUGAGAAAACCCUCGCUCGAGGCUCGCUUACGGGACCUCCUGGACCUCCCUUCCCUCCCCGAACGUUCGUUGGUCCUGCGGGAGGACAAUCAGCAGGAUACAGAGGAUCAAAGGGUGCCAGAAAUUAUCGAAAACUCUCCCUUCGAACGGUACCUUUCAUUUCCCUCUCCCCCGUCAAUUGCGAAUCCCCCGAAAAUUCCCCAUCAGUUUCAAUCCCACAGACAGAGACUCCACAACGAUUGAAAAUAUUCAGACUACUACGGUCGAAGAUGAGGACAUCUGGGAGGGGAGAUUGGACAGAAAAAAAAUUGAUAGACUUCGAGAAAAAUUGAAAACUCAUAAAUUUAUGAUUUCACUACCUGUUGCGAGUGUCAUAAUGAUUUGCACAAUGGUAAUCACCGGUUGUUGCACUUUGUACCUCAGAAGUCGAAUUGUUCGGUGUAUUGACAUGAUCAGACCGAAGAAUAAAUUGAAGUAGUAAAUAUCUGAAUAUCGACCCAGAGGUGGGCAGACGUCUCACACGAGUGAAAUUACUGCAGCAGAAGCCGCCAUCCUUGGCGGUUCCCCGUGCACGAUCAUUAUCCUACGAUUAUGUUCACGUUGCCACACAAGAUAGUGCACCAAGUGUGGAUAACACAGUAGAUACACCUCCCACCGGAUGUUACGCUUGCUGCAAGAAGAAGAAAAAGAAGGGGAAGAAGCGAAAAAAAUGAAGCAAGUGAUGAGUCUCACUUGACUUCACCUCGUUAAUUAACAAGUUCUCCAUUGUACAGGGAUUUGAAAGAUGAAUGAUCAAGUGAACGAUAUUGUUCGGUGAUCAAUCAAUUUUUACGCGCCCAUCGUUAAUGAUGAUGAAUAUAUUAUUGACGUCUGUAAAUAUACUAGGGAUGUUCAGGAGUGUUUUUUGUACUAUUGACAUAAAUCUUUCGGAGUUGGAAUAUUUAGCUGCACAUUUGGAUCCGUUUGAGUGUCGUAGGUUAGUCGCAGCCCUUCAUUAUAAGACUUAUGAACUUCCGGAGAACAUCGCCGGUGCAG